AUUUUCUAGUGUGUUAAGGUAUGUAACCAUGGUAUUUUCUAGUGUGUUAAGGUAUGUAACCAUGGUAUUUUCUAGUGUGUUAAGGUAUGUAAUCAUGGUAUUUUCUAGUGUGUUAAGGUAUGUAACCAUGGUAUUUUCUAGUGUGUUAAGGUUUGUAACCAUGGUAUUUUCUAGUGUGUUAAGGUAUGUAAUCAUGGUAUUUUCUAGUGUGUUAAGGUUUGUAACCAUGGUAUUUUCUAGUGUGUUAAGGUAUGUAAUCAUGGUAUUUUCUAGUGUGUUAAGGUAUGUAACCAUGGUAUUUUCUAGUGUGUUAAGGUAUGUAACCAUGGUAUUUUCUAGUGUGUUAAGGUAUGUAAUCAUGGUAUUUU
This is a long non-coding RNA of Oncorhynchus tshawytscha (Chinook salmon), 368 nucleotides long. Lineage: Eukaryota; Metazoa; Chordata; Actinopteri; Salmoniformes; Salmonidae. The record is from Ensembl.